RNAcentral lists this ribosomal RNA (254 nucleotides) under uncultured bacterium. RNAcentral describes it as "partial 16S ribosomal RNA". It matches the Rfam family "Bacterial small subunit ribosomal RNA", at positions 524 to 776 of the family's 1533-position model. The record is from RNAcentral.
UACGUAGGGUGCGAGCGUUGUCCGGAAUUAUUGGGCGUAAAGAGCUCGUAGGCGGUGUGUCGCGUCGGCCGUGAAAACCUGGGGCUUAACUCUGGGCGUGCGGUCGAUACGGGCAUCACUAGAGUUCGGCAGGGGAGACUGGAAUUCCUGGUGUAGCGGUGAAAUGCGCAGAUAUCAGGAGGAACACCGGUGGCGAAGGCGGGUCUCUGGACAGUUCCUGACACUGAGGCACGAAGGCCAGGGGAGCAAACGGG